Mycena filopes is the source of this 80-nucleotide non-coding RNA. The record is from the annotation of a GenBank genome assembly. NCBI's taxonomy places the organism in Eukaryota, Fungi, Basidiomycota, Agaricomycetes, Agaricales, Mycenaceae.
UCUCGAUUAGUAUAGCGGUUAGUACACGCUUGUCGGUAAUCCACGCCCGCGAAAGCUGGGUUCGACUCCCAGGUUGAGAG